This 24-nucleotide non-coding RNA is filed under the name Cricetulus griseus (Chinese hamster). Lineage: Eukaryota; Metazoa; Chordata; Mammalia; Rodentia; Cricetidae. The record is from RNAcentral.
UGGAUGCUUGUUACUGACAGGAGC